Salmo salar (Atlantic salmon) is the source of this 47-nucleotide non-coding RNA. NCBI's taxonomy places the organism in Eukaryota, Metazoa, Chordata, Actinopteri, Salmoniformes, Salmonidae. The record is from Rfam.
CAAAAGGCUCUUUUAAGAGCCACCCACCUCUUUCCAUAAAAGCGCAU